This 494-nucleotide ribosomal RNA is filed under the name uncultured bacterium. Its description in RNAcentral is "partial 16S ribosomal RNA". It matches the Rfam family "Bacterial small subunit ribosomal RNA", at positions 28 to 507 of the family's 1533-position model. The record is from RNAcentral.
GACGAACGCUGGCGGCGCGCUUAACACAUGCAAGUCGAACGGAAAGGCCUGCUUUCCCUUGUGGAUUGCGGGUACUCGAGUGGCGAACGGGUGAGUAACACGUGAGUGAUCUGCCCCCAACUUGGGUAUAAGCCUGGGAAACUGGGUCUAAUUCCCGAUAGGACUGCAGGGUGGUGCCUGUGGUGGAAAACGAUCUUCUAGUGGUUGGGGAUGAGCUCGCGGCCUAUCAGCUUGUUGGGGGGGUAAUGGCCUACCAAGGCGGCGACGGGUAGCCGGCCUGGGAGGGUGGACGGCCAGAUUGGGACUGAGAUGCGGCCCAGACUCCUACGGGAGGCAGCAGUGGGGAAUAUUGCACAAUGGGCGGAAGCCUGAUGCAGCGACGCCGCGUGGGGGAUGACGGCCUUCGGGUUGUAAACUCCUUUCGACCGCGAGGAAGCCACCUGGUUGGAAGGGUGGUGACGGUAGUGGUAGAAGAAGCACCGGCUAACUACGUG